UUUAUGUUAACCCUUCCAAUGGAGUUAGGGAUGUGAAUUUGCAUCCUUAAGCAGAGAACUGCGUAGGAACAAUCACAUUGGAAGCCCUUAUAGACAAGCAGUUCUUUUCAUGUUGGGACAAAGACAAAGACAAAGACAAAGACAAAGACAAAGACAAAGACUAGGAAGAAAGUCCUCCGGUGGUAGCUCGAAGAUGGGGAUUAUACCUUCGACUGUGGUGAGACUAUUCCUGAGCAGCUUACAAAAAUAUCCUUUUUAUGUGUAUAUAUACAAGUAAUUUAUGUUAUUUUGUUUGAAGAUGCGAAGGUCUGAAUUAUGAAGAUACUGAUUCUAAAAAAAUAGAUUACAAAAAAAGUCCAAAUACUAGAUGUUAAAGUUGUCUAAAAAGAUGGAUGACUAUAAAUGGGAAGUGAGUUCUUAUUUUGCAAGUUGGGGAAGAUUUUAAAGAGACAAUAAUGACAUAUGUUGUUCAUUCCGGUAUGAGCUUAACAAUGAUCAAGAAUGAUAAAACAAGAGUACGAGUUGUUUGCAAAAAAGGUUUCCAAAUGAAGAAACACGGCCAAUAAAGACUUUGGUUGAUGAGCAUUUUUGUAGCAGAUACAAUAAGUGUGUAGGGUUUGGUACCACCAUUGAUGAAUUGUUACUAGGAGUUGACAAAAGAUUAUGUGUUGGGCACUUGUACAAUAACUUUAGAAAGAAGCAUCCUGGAGUGAAAUUGAAGCGAAUGAUGUGAAGGGCUGCCAAAUCUACUUACCCAUAAGCUUGAGAAAGAGAAAUGAAUGAAAUUAGAAAAGUUAAUGAAGAGACAUAUAAGUAUGAGAACCACAUAUAAGUAUGUCAAACAUGAUUUAUAAAUAUGUCGGUUUUGGAAUUUCUGUUUGACAAGUACCUAAUCCAAAUACCAUCAAGGUGUUGGAGUAAAUCAAGGUUCCAAACUCCCACAAUGUAUGAUAUUAUGUUCAAUAAUAUGUGUGAGACUUUUAAUGGUGUGAUAGUUGGUCCGAGACAAAAACCAAUUAUCACAAUAAUUGAAGAGAUAAGAAUAUAUCUCAGGGAAAUGUUGUUUGCCAAUAGAGAAAAAAUUGCAAUAUUUGAAUGAAGUAUAUUGUCAAAGAUAAAGAGAAGACGUGAGAUUGAAUCGGCAGCAAUAAACAGCUGGAUGUUUAUUUGAUUGGGGAAAAUUGGUUUGAAACCACACACAUGAACUUCAUCAUUAAUAAGUACACAAUUAACCUUGAAACCAGAUAGUGUACCUGCAGAAAGUGAAUGUAUGUAAAAUGUAGAAGGUGUGGACAAGAAGGACAUAAUAGGAAGGCGUGCAAUUCAAACCACACAAUGCCACAUGUUUAGAGGAAAACAAAUUUAAUCAAGAAGCCAAAUACAAAUGCAACCAGUGCAAGUAAGGUCAAGACCCAAAAUGCAAAUGCAACUAGUGUUUAUCAAGUCUAAAUCCAAAAUGCAAAUAAGAGUUAAAGUGCAGGUCAACAGCAGAAUGGAAGUCAACAGAAGAGUGGAAGUCAACAGUAGAGGUAAACAACCUAAAUGCAAUGAUUUAUUGAACUUGAAUAAUAUGCUAUUUUGUUUGUAAUGAACUUGUUUGGUUGUUUACUUGUUCUGUUUUGAGUAUGUUGAAGUAGAAGAACAUGUGAUUUGAAGUUGAUGUAUGUUGAACUUAAAAUCUUAUUUUGAGUAUUUUGAAGUAUUUCGAAGUAAAAAUGACACUUCAUAUUCAUUUUCUGUUGAAAUUAUAAUGACAAUUAUGUUGAAGUUGUAAUGACAAGAUUAUGCUGAAGUUUUAAUGGCAUGUUAAUGUUCAAUUUUUGUUGAAAUUGUAAUGACAAUUAUGUUGAAGUUGUAAUGAGAA
Long non-coding RNA from Cicer arietinum (chickpea), 1864 nucleotides. RefSeq lists it as uncharacterized. The record is from RefSeq and is a predicted model, not a curated record. NCBI's taxonomy places the organism in Eukaryota, Viridiplantae, Streptophyta, Magnoliopsida, Fabales, Fabaceae.